CUUAUAUGAGGUCUCUAAAAUACUCAAACUUAUAGAAACAGAGAGUAGAAUGGUGGUUGCAGGAAAUGGGAAGUUGCUAAUCAAUGGAUAUAACAUUUCAAUUAUGCAAGGUGAAUUCUAGAGCUCUGCUAUACAAUAUUGUGCCUGUAGAUGACAAUACUGCAUUGUGCGCUUAAAAUGCCAUUGAGUAGAACUCAUGUUAGGUGUUCUUGCCACAGUAAAACAAUGUUAAUGCAUACAUAAUGAAAAUUAUUUUUUAAUUCAUGUCAAAGAAAAACAGAGAAGGAAGGAAAGAAGGAAGGAAGGAAGGCAGGCAGGCAGGCAGGCCUCUAUGAGAAACAUAGUUCCCUGGCCAGCCUCUAGCUGCUGUUUUUUUUGUGGGGGAGUGGGGAUGGAGUCUCACUCUGUUGCCCAGGUUGAAGUGCAGUGGUACAAUCUCAGCUCACUGCAACCUCUGCCUGCCAGGUUCAAGCGAUUCUCCUGCUUCAGCCUCCUGAGUAGCUGGGGUUACAAGCAUGAACCACCAUGUUUGGCUAAUUUUUUCUUUUUCUUUCUUUCUUUCUUUCUUUCUUUCUUUCUUUCUUUCUUUCUUUUUUUUUUGAGACAGAUUCUUGCUCCGUAGCCCGAGCUAGAGUGCAGUGGUGCAAUCUUGGCUCAUUACAACCUCCGUCUCCCAGGUUCAAGUGAUUCUCCUGCCUCAGCCUCCUGAGUAGCUGGGACUACAGUGGCGAGCCACCAUGCCCAGCUAGUUUUUGUAUUUUUAGUAGAGACGGGGUUUCACUGUGUUGGUCAGGCUGGUCUCGAACUCCUGACCUCAGGUGAUCUGCCUGCAUCGGCCUCCCAAAGUGCUGGGAUUACAGGCAUGAGCCACUGUGCCCGGCCACGCCUGGCUAAUUUUUUGUAUUUUUAGUAGAGAAAGGGUUUCACCAUGUUGGCUAGUCUGGUUUCAAACUCCUGACCUCAAGUGAUUUGCCUGCCUUGGGCUCUCAAAGUGCUAGGAUUACAGGUGUGAGCCAUCAUGCCCAGCCAGCUGCCAUUUUUGGAUCCACCUCAGUUCUCACACUGAGGCCACUUUCUGGUUUACUUCCACUCAAUGACUGCACACAGUAGGGGUACUAAGUGUGAGGUACAUAAUACACAGCCACUGAUUUAGUAAAUGCAUUUUUUCCCCUACUUCUAUCAGGAAAGAGACUAGAAAUAGUUCACAUCCAUGUGGGACGACAAUAUUUACUCAGUUUUGCCCCAAGAAUAAUAUUUGCUCCUUUGAUGAUAAAAUGUGAAUUAUAGGCUGUUAUAGUUUGGAUAUUUGUCCCCACCCACAUCUCAUGUUGAAUUGUAAUCCCCAGUGCUGAAUGUGGGGCCUGCCCAGAGGUGUUUGGAUCAUGGGGGUGGAUCCCUCAUAGCUUGGUACUGUCUUUUCAGUUCUCUCGAGAUCUAGUCAUUUAAAAGUGUGUAGCAUCUGCCCCCUGACCUUGUUCCUGCUUUCACCAUGUGAUGUGCCUGCUUCCCCUUUGCCUUCUGCCACGAUUGGAAGUUUCCUGAGGCCUCCCCAGAAGCAGAUGCUGCUAUGCUUCCUGUACAGCCUGUAGAACCAUGAGCCAAUUAAACCUCUUUUCUUAUAAAUUACCCAGUCUCAGCUAUUUCUGUAUAGCAAUCUAAGAGAAAAUUGGCACCGGGGUGGGGAAUUACUAUAAAGAUACCUGAAAAUGUGGAAGUCAUUUUGGAACUAUGUAACAGGCAGAGGCUGAAAGAGUUUGGAAGGCUCAGAAAAAGACAGGAAGAUGAGGGAAGGUUUAAAACUUCUUAGAGACUGGUUAAAUUGUUGUGACCAAAAUGCUGAUAGUGAUAUGGACAGCGAGAUCCAAGCUGCUGAGUCUCAGAUGGAAAUGAUGAAGAAAGUUGGAGCUUACAUUUAAAAGGGAAGCAGAAUAUAAAAGUUUGGAAAUUUUGUAGUCUGCCCAUGUGGCAAAGAAAGAAAAAGCUUUCUCAAAAGAGGGAUACAAGCAGGCUGUGGAGCAACCACUUGCUAGAGAUAUUUGCGUAAUUAAAAAGGAGUGAGGCCGGGCGCGGUGGUUCACCCCUGUAAUCCCAGCACUUUGGGAGGCCGAGGCUGGCGGAUCAUGAGGUCAGGAGAUAGCGACCAUCCUGGCUAACACGGUGAAACCCCAUCUCUACUAAAAAUACAAAAAAUUAACCAGGUUCAGUGGCGGGUGCCUGUAGUCCCAGCUACUCGGGAGUCUGGGGCAGGAGAAUGGUAUGAACCUGGGAGGCGGAGCUUGCAGUGAGCCGAGAUCGCGCCACUGCACUCCGGCCUGGGCAAAAGAGCGAGACUCCGUCUAAAAAAAAAAGGAGCCAGUGCUAAUGUGUCUGGAAUUGGUGGGUUCUUGGUCACACUGACUUCAAGAAUGAAACUGCGGACCCUUGCGGUGAGUGUUACAGCUCUUAAGGUGGUGUGUCUGGAGUUUGUUCCUUCUGAUGUUCGGAUGUGUUCGGAGUUUCUUCCUUCUGGUGGGUUCGUGGUCUCGCUGGCUCAGGAGUGAAGCUGCAGACCUUUGCGGUGAGUGUUACAGCUCUUAAGGCGGCACAUCUGGAGUUGUUCGUUCCUCCCGGCGGGCUCGUGGUCUCGCUGGCUUCAGGAGUGAAGCUGCAGGCCUUCGUGGUGAGUGUUACAGCUCAUAAAAGCAGCAUGGACCCAAAGAGUGAGCAGUAGCAAGAUUUAUUGCAAAGAGCAAAAGAACAAAGCUUCCACAGUGUGGAAGGGGACCCAAGCGGGUUGCCACUGCUGGCUGGGGCAGCCUGGUUUCAUUCUCUUAUCUGGCCCCACCCACGUCCUGCUGAUUGGUAGAGCCCAGUGGUCUGUUUUGACAGGGCGCUGAUUGGUGCGUUUACAAUCCCUGAGCUGGAUACAAAGGUUCUCCACGUCCCCAUCAGAUUAGAUACAGAGUAUCCACACAAAGGUUCUCCAAGGCCCCACCAGAGCAGAUAGAUACAGAGUGUCCAUUGGUGCACUCACAAACCCUGAGCUAGACACAGGGUGCUGAUUGGUGUGUUUACAAACCUUGAGCUAGAUACAGAGUGCCGAUUGGUGUAUUUACAAUCCCUGAGCUAGACAUAAAGGUUCUUCACGGCCCCACCAGAGCAGCUAGAUACAGAGUGUCAAUUGGUGCACUCACAAACCCUGAGCUAGACACAGGGUGCUGACUGGUGUGUUUACAAACCUUGAGCUAGAUACAGAGUGCCGAUUGGUGUAUUUAUGUCUAGCUCAGGGAUUGUAAAGGUUCUCCAAAGCCCCACCAGAUUCAGGAGCCCAGCUGGCUUCACCCGGUGAAUCCCGCACCGGGGCUGCAGGUGGAGCUGCCUGCCAGUCCCCUGCGUGCGCCCGCACUCCUCAGCCCUUGGGUGGUCGAUGGGACUGGGUGCCGUGGAGCAGGGGGUGGCCCUCGUCGAGGAGACUCGGGCUGCACAGGAGCCCAUGGAGGGGGUG
Molecule: long non-coding RNA, 3484 nt
Filed under: Homo sapiens (human)
Lineage: Eukaryota; Metazoa; Chordata; Mammalia; Primates; Hominidae
Description: HSALNT0366564
Source: RNAcentral